Molecule: long non-coding RNA, 847 nt
Organism: Xenia sp. Carnegie-2017
Lineage: Eukaryota; Metazoa; Cnidaria; Anthozoa; Malacalcyonacea; Xeniidae
Exons: 3
Source: RefSeq, a predicted model, not a curated record
GUGUCAUUGAAAGACAGCUUGGGUUUGUUGAUGUUAGUUGUGAUAGGACUGACACUGCUAUAUCAUCAGUGGUUAAGGGUAAGUUAAGUCAAUAUAAUAAUGUGAAAAAGAAAUUUAUUGGACAGACUUAUGAUGGUGCAUCUGUUAUGUCUGGUCAUCUCAAUGGUGUUCAAGCUCAAGUUCAGCAGGAUUAUCCUUAUGCUCAACUUGUUCACUGUGUUGCCCAUAGACUAAAUCUAGUAUUAUGUCAAGCUGCAUCCUCCAUCUCACCUGUUAAGAUUUUCUUUGUUAAUAUUAGCACCUUUACUGGCAAUUCCCCCUAAAAGAAAAGCUUUACAAUCAUCCCAUAGGCUUGAGUUUCCUAGUUCUGGUGACACAAGAUGGUAUUAUAGGGCUCAUGUCAUCAAUGUCUUGCAUUCUAACUAUGAGAAACUGAUAGACAUAUUUGAAAAUCUUACUGAUAAUCCAAUAGGUUGGGAUGAUGAAACGUUAAGUAAGGUUACUGGUUUACUUGGCUACCUUAAUGGCUUCUUGUUUUGUUUGUUGGUACAUGUUUGUCAGAGAAUUCUUGAGCAGUCAUCCGUACUUUAUUCUAUCUUGCAAGAAAAGGACACUGACUUUCAUUAUGGAAUGAGUAGGUUUGAGAGAUUCAAGGCCUUUGUUGCUUCUCUGAGAAAUGAUACAGAAUAUUGUCAGGUGUGCAACCUGGCUGUUGAGAAAGUGGGACCACCAGUAACCAGUUCCAUUAUCAAUCUAGUAUUCCAGAAGUUAAAGAUAAAUGGGGUUUUGUCAAUUACAAGUGCUUCAGUUCAGAGGAUUUCCAUUCACAAAGACAUACUGUCAGAGA